This is a long non-coding RNA of Pseudopipra pipra, 605 nucleotides long. RefSeq lists it as uncharacterized. The record is from RefSeq and is a predicted model, not a curated record. Lineage: Eukaryota; Metazoa; Chordata; Aves; Passeriformes; Pipridae. The transcript is spliced from 3 exons.
UUGCUUUUCAGUCCUUGUAACCUCAAUUUGAUGUUUGAUGUUUAGAUUUUGGGUGAUUCUGUUGAAGCCUACCCCCAUGCGGAGAGCCUGACAGCGAGAUGGCUGUGUUGCUAUGUGUUGCAGAGACCUGGAGAAUUUAUUUCUCUUCUGUUGAAAAGAAGAUUUUGAAUAACCAUGGCAACAGUAAAACCUGCUGUGAAUCUUACAGCAUGAAGUAUUUCUGAUAGCUGCUUCUGGGGAUCAAGGAUUUAGUCAAGGAUAUCUCUUCUGUGUGGUGUUAUUCCUUCUUGCCCCAGCUCUCCCACAUUGAUACCAGAGACAUCAAUGUGAAGGCAAAGCUGGAAGUUCAACCACAUAACCCACCUUGAAGCUGUGCCUGUACUGUUCUAUUGCUGCUGACAAACUAGGCCAGCUGGCUAAUUAAUUAAGGAUGAGACACUUGGUGAUGUGCACCUGGAAAUCAUUAGAUGCCUGGAGGUUACACAUUCACACUUAACUAGGACUUUCACCAUGAGGUGAACUCUGAUGUUUUCAUGAGCUGAGGAAUAAUGAGAAUGGACCAAGGCAUUAACAUGUUCAAGACCGAUAAUAAUUUCCUGCUGCUA